This 1053-nucleotide ribosomal RNA is filed under the name Triticum aestivum (bread wheat). Its description in RNAcentral is "partial small subunit ribosomal RNA". Lineage: Eukaryota; Viridiplantae; Streptophyta; Magnoliopsida; Poales; Poaceae. The record is from RNAcentral.
AUGGUGGCUGCCAUGGUUGCCGUGGUUGUGGUGGCGGCGGUGUGCUUGCGGCUGCCGGCGGUGGCUCGCGGGCAGCUCCAGGUGGGCUUCUACAACACGAGCUGCCCCAACGCGGAGUCGCUGGUCCAGCAGGCCGUCGCCAGCGCCUUCGCCAACGACUCCGGCGUCGCCGCCGGCCUCAUCCGCCUCCAUUUCCAUGACUGCUUUGUCCGGGGAUGUGACGCCUCCGUGCUGCUGGUGUCCGCCAACGGCACGGCCGAGCGCGACGCGGCCCCGAACAAGCCGAGCCUCCGGGGAUUCGAGGUGAUCGACGCCGCCAAGGCCGCCGUGGAGAAGAGCUGCGCGCGCACCGUCUCCUGCGCCGACAUCGUGGCCUUCGCCGCGCGCGACAGCAUCAACCUCACCGGGCAGGCCGCGUACCAGGUCCCCUCGGGCCGGCGCGACGGCAACUUCUCCCUCGACCAGGACGCGCUCAACAACCUGCCCCCGCCCACGUUCACGGCGCAGCAGCUCGUCGACCGCUUCGCCAACAAGACCCUCACCGCCGAGGAGAUGGUCAUCCUCUCCGGCGCCCACACCGUGGGCCGCUCCUUCUGCAGCUCCUUCCUCGCCCGCAUCUGGAACAACACCACCGCCACCGUGGACACGGGGCUGAGCCCGGCGUACGCGGCGCUGCUGCAGGCGCUGUGCCCGUCGAGUCCGAACGCGGCCACGACGACGGCGGUCGACCCGACCACGCCCGCGGUGCUGGACAACAACUACUACAAGCUCCUGUCGCUCAACCUCGGCCUCUUCUUCUCCGACAACCAGCUGCGGACCAACGCGACGCUCAACACGUCCGUGAACAGCUUCGCGGCGAACGAGACGCUGUGGAAGCAGAAGUUCGUGGCGGCCAUGGUGAAGAUGGGGAACAUCGAGGUGCUCACGGGCACCCAGGGGGAGAUCCGGCUCAACUGCAGCGUCGUCAACAACCGGUCGUCGGUGGCAGCCCCCGAGAUUCACCACUACUACUCGGGAUCCACCGCCUCCAUCAAGGAGAUCGCGACCAGCUGA